This 329-nucleotide ribosomal RNA is filed under the name uncultured eukaryote. RNAcentral's name for it is "partial 18S ribosomal RNA". It matches the Rfam family "Eukaryotic small subunit ribosomal RNA", at positions 1470 to 1796 of the family's 1831-position model. The record is from RNAcentral.
CCCUUAGAUGUUCUGGGCUGCACGCGCGCUACACUGAUGCGUUCAACGAGUUUAUGACCUUGCCCGAUAGGGUUGGGUAAUCUUUUUAAAUCGCAUCGUGAUGGGGAUAGAUUAUUGCAAUUAUUAAUCUUCAACGAGGAAUUCCUAGUAAGCGCGAGUCAUCAGCUCGUGCUGAUUACGUCCCUGCCCUUUGUACACACCGCCCGUCGCUCCUACCGAUUGAAUGGUCCGGUGAAGCGUUCGGACCGUGGCCUUUGGACGGUUCGCCGUCUGUUGGCUGCGGGAAGUUCGUUAAACCUUAUCAUUUAGAGGAAGGAGAANUCGUAACA